This 549-nucleotide ribosomal RNA is filed under the name uncultured bacterium. Its description in RNAcentral is "bacterial SSU rRNA". It matches the Rfam family "Bacterial small subunit ribosomal RNA", at positions 355 to 895 of the family's 1533-position model. The record is from RNAcentral.
UAGGGAAUCUUCCGCAAUGGGCGAAAGCCUGACGGAGCAACGCCGCGUGAGUGAUGAAGGUCUUCGGAUCGUAAAACUCUGUUAUUAGGGAAGAACAUAUGUGUAAGUAACUGUGCACAUCUUGACGGUACCUAAUCAGAAAGCCACGGCUAACUACGUGCCAGCAGCCGCGGUAAUACGUAGGUGGCGAGCGUUAUCCGGAAUUAUUGGGCGUAAAGCGCGCGUAGGCGGUUUUUUAAGUCUGAUGUGAAAGCCCACGGCUCAACCGUGGAGGGUCAUUGGAAACUGGAAAACUUGAGUGCAGAAGAGGAAAGUGGAAUUCCAUGUGUAGCGGUGAAAUGCGCAGAGAUAUGGAGGAACACCAGUGGCGAAGGCGACUUUCUGGUCUGUAACUGACGCUGAUGUGCGAAAGCGUGGGGAUCAAACAGGAUUAGAUACCCUGGUAGUCCACGCCGUAAACGAUGAGUGCUAAGUGUUAGGGGGUUUCCGCCCCUUAGUGCUGCAGCUAACGCAUUAAGCACUCCGCCUGGGGAGUACGACCCCAAGGUU